GGAAUUUUCCGCAAUGGGCGAAAGCCUGACGGAGCGACGCCGCGUGUAGGACGAAGCACCUCGGUGUGUAAACUACUGUCAGGGAUUAGGAAGCAAGUGACCAAUCCCAAAGGAAGCCUCGGCUAACUCCGUGCCAGCAGCCGUGGUAAUACGGAGGAGGCAAGCGUUGUUCGGAAUUACUGGGCUUAAAGCGUGUGUAGGCGGGAUAGUAGGUAUCGUGUGAAAGCCCUCGGCUCAACCGAGGAACGGCACGGUAAACCACUAUUCUUGAGGCCAGCAGGGGAACCUGGAACUUUGGGUGGAGCGGUGAAAUGCGUAGAUAUCCAAGGGAACGCCGGUGGCGAAAGCGGGGUUCUGGGCUGGUUCUGACGCUGAGACACGAAAGCCAGGGGAGCGAAAGGGAUUAGAUACCCCAGUAGUC
RNAcentral lists this ribosomal RNA (421 nucleotides) under uncultured bacterium. RNAcentral describes it as "bacterial SSU rRNA". It matches the Rfam family "Bacterial small subunit ribosomal RNA", at positions 358 to 795 of the family's 1533-position model. The record is from RNAcentral.